CACAGGAAGUGAGGUAGAGAACAGCCUCUGGAGUUCUCGGGACUUCCUGUGAGGAGGGUGAGAGGCAGUUGGAGCCUGGUGCUUGGAGUUGGAGGAGCCCCAUGGACUGCUUUCCUUCAGAUUGGUCAUGUUAAAAACACAUAGUUCAAGAUGCUACAUUUUCAUAAAGAAGAAGUCGCGGGUAAUUGAGUUCUUUUAAGACAAGGCUGUAAUUAGAUUGUCCAUGGUGAUGAUGAAUGUGGGGAGAGACAAUGAAAAGGAGUCAUCACACAAACUGGGAGGCAUCUGCUCAGGGCAUCUGUACUUGAACGAUCACCUCAAAGCCUGGGUUCUUUAACAUUCUUUCUCAGGAAGCUUAAAAAGAAGAAAACGUUGCCUAUAACUACAGGGAAAGAAGAGAGAGAAUGGCAGAAGAGGAAAAAUUGAAAGGAACCAUCUUACAAUAGAUGGCAGUCCAGGGCUGCUGAGUGAUCAAGAGAUGGACAGCAUUGCCAUCUAAGUCUACAUCUGCCUUCCAUUUUUAUCUGCAGUAAGUUAUGGAAACCACUGACCAGGGCCUACAAUUUGCUUUCCGAAUUCUUCAGAUUUUUGUGUUGUGGAGCCUAUGGACCUGUUCUCAGAAUAAUAUUUUUAAAUAAUUGAAAGAAAUAAUAAAUUUCAUUUCUGUUGUGGUUGUUGAA
Molecule: long non-coding RNA, 680 nt
Organism: Monodelphis domestica (gray short-tailed opossum)
Lineage: Eukaryota; Metazoa; Chordata; Mammalia; Didelphimorphia; Didelphidae
Source: RefSeq, a predicted model, not a curated record